GACGAGCGCUGGCGGCGUGCUUAACACAUGCAAGUCGAACGGAAAGGCCCUGCUUUUGUGGGGUGCUCGAGUGGCGAACGGGUGAGUAACACGUGAGUAACCUGCCCUUGACUUUGGGAUAACUUCAGGAAACUGGGGCUAAUACCGGAUAGGAGCUCCUGCUGCAUGGUGGGGGUUGGAAAGUUUCGGCGGUUGGGGAUGGACUCGCGGCUUAUCAGCUUGUUGGUGGGGUAGUGGCUUACCAAGGCUUUGACGGGUAGCCGGCCUGAGAGGGUGACCGGCCACAUUGGGACUGAGAUACGGCCCAGACGCCUACGUGAGGCAGCAGUGGGGAAUAUUGCACAAUGGGCGGAAGCCUGAUGCAGCAACGCCGCGUGCGGGAUGACGGCCUUCGGGUUGUAAACCGCUUUCGCCUGUGACGAAGCGUGAGUGACGGUAAUGGGUAAAGAAGCACCGGCUAACUACGUG
This 468-nucleotide ribosomal RNA is filed under the name uncultured bacterium. Its description in RNAcentral is "partial 16S ribosomal RNA". It matches the Rfam family "Bacterial small subunit ribosomal RNA", at positions 28 to 507 of the family's 1533-position model. The record is from RNAcentral.